AUUGAACGCUGGCGGCAUGCCUUACACAUGCAAGUCGAACGGCAGCACGGGAGCAAUCCUGGUGGCGAGUGGCGAACGGGUGAGUAAUAUAUCGGAACGUGCCCAGUCGUGGGGAUAACGUAGCGAAAGCUACGCUAAUACCGCAUACGAUCUAUGGAUGAAAGCGGGGGAUCGCAAGACCUCGCGCGAUUGGAGCGGCCGAUAUCAGAUUAGGUAGUUGGUGAGGUAAAGGCUCACCAAGCCGACGAUCUGUAGCUGGUCUGAGAGGACGACCAGCCACACUGGGACUGAGACACGGCCCAGACUCCUACGGGAGGCAGCAGUGGGGAAUUUUGGGACAAUGGGCGGCAAGCCUGAUCCAGCAAUGCCGCGUGCAGGAUG
Molecule: ribosomal RNA, 381 nt
Filed under: uncultured bacterium
Lineage: Bacteria
Description: bacterial SSU rRNA
Rfam family: Bacterial small subunit ribosomal RNA
Source: RNAcentral